AAACCAACCGGGAUUGCCUUAGUAACGGCGAGUGAAGCGGCAAAAGCUCAAAUUUGAAAUCUGGUACCUUCGGUGCCCGAGUUGUAAUUUGGAGAGGGCAACUUUGGGGCCGUUCCUUGUCUAUGUUCCUUGGAACAGGACGUCAUAGAGGGUGAGAAUCGCCGUG
This 166-nucleotide ribosomal RNA is filed under the name uncultured Saccharomyces. RNAcentral's name for it is "partial 26S ribosomal RNA". It matches the Rfam family "Eukaryotic large subunit ribosomal RNA", at positions 62 to 225 of the family's 3401-position model. Lineage: Eukaryota; Fungi; Ascomycota; Saccharomycetes; Saccharomycetales; Saccharomycetaceae. The record is from RNAcentral.